UAGGGAAUCUUCGGCAAUGGACGAAAGUCUGACCGAGCAACGCCGCGUGAGUGAAGAAGGUUUUCGGAUCGUAAAACUCUGUUGUUAGAGAAGAACAAGGACGUUAGUAACUGAACGUCCCCUGACGGUAUCUAACCAGAAAGCCACGGCUAACUACGUGCCAGCAGCCGCGGUAAUACGUAGGUGGCAAGCGUUGUCCGGAUUUAUUGGGCGUAAAGCGAGCGCAGGCGGUUUCUUAAGUCUGAUGUGAAAGCCCCCGGCUCAACCGGGGAGGGUCAUUGGAAACUGGGAGACUUGAGUGCAGAAGAGGAGAGUGGAAUUCCAUGUGUAGCGGUGAAAUGCGUAGAUAUAUGGAGGAACACCAGUGGCGAAGGCGGUUCUCUGGUCUGUAACUGACGCUGAGGCUCGAAAGCGUGGGGAGCAAACAGG
RNAcentral lists this ribosomal RNA (429 nucleotides) under Gemmatimonadota bacterium. RNAcentral describes it as "Gemmatimonadetes bacterium partial 16S ribosomal RNA". It matches the Rfam family "Bacterial small subunit ribosomal RNA", at positions 355 to 776 of the family's 1533-position model. The record is from RNAcentral. Lineage: Bacteria; Pseudomonadati; Gemmatimonadota.